This 763-nucleotide long non-coding RNA is filed under the name Gorilla gorilla gorilla (western lowland gorilla). RNAcentral's name for it is "lncRNA (ENSGGOG00000044326.1)". Lineage: Eukaryota; Metazoa; Chordata; Mammalia; Primates; Hominidae. The record is from RNAcentral.
GAAAAAGGACUUUAAACAUUCUCCUGUUCUGUGGAAUAAGUGUACUUUUUUCUGGACAUACACCUUGUCAGUGAGUUCCAUGUGAUACUAGAGUUGCAUAGAUUUUUAACCUUUACGCCAAUGAAGAUCUGAGGCAAACAUUGCCCCUUUUUUAGAAGUUUGCAUUUGUCACUGAUAACUGUAAUAAUUGAUCUUGUUGAAAAGCCUGGGAAAUGAAGAUCUGAUAUGUCACUUUUACCCGCUUCCUCAACUGAAAAAGAAUACAAUGAAACACGCUGAGAAUUUUUGUGCUUUCUCAGUCUUGCUGAUGAUCUUUCUAUGGGCCUGAAGCGUGGAGAGUGCCAGAGAGGCUGAUCCUCAGCAGUGUGGCAGAGGAAAGUUGGGUGCGACUAAGGAGUAUGCGGUGCCCAAAUGCCACUGGGUCUUCAGCAGUACCACCUGAUUGGAAGUGAUAUUGGUGGAAGACAACAUUUUGCCGCUUGGAAUUCUCACCUCCACACCAAAGAAGUACUGUUUUUGUCAUUUGCACCAGCUUCUUUCUCCAGGAAAGAUCAAAACGAUGCACUGCAAAGGAAGCAAGAGAAUGAAUUAAAGAAAACUCCAGAGAAUGAGCUGACAACUUACGCCCUGGUCAGUGGCUCUCCAUGCCUACCUGUGGUCUCUUGGACACCCUUGCAGGUAUGUGGGCAGGGAACUGCAUGUUUAUAGGAAACAGGCCUAGGAUGGAAGGAGUUAAUAGAUCUUCCUCUUCUUGAGUUUGAUG